CCCUUAGAUGUUCUGGGCCGCACACGCGCUACACUGAAGGAGGCAGCGUGUACUCCUGGAUCGAAAGAUUUGGGUAACCCGCGAAUCUCCUUCGUGCUAGGGAUUGAGGUUUGCAAUUAUCCUUCAUGAACGAGGAAUUCCCAGUAAGUGCAAGUCAUCAGCUUGCAUUGAUUACGUCCCUGCCCUUUGUACACACCGCCCGUCGCACCUACUGAUUGGAUGACUCGGUGAAAAAUUGGGACUGUGAAGAACACUGCUUAAUUGCGGCGUUUUUUAUGGGAACUUUUUUAAACCUCGUUAUCUAGAAGAAGGUGAGGUCGUAACA
Molecule: ribosomal RNA, 325 nt
Filed under: uncultured eukaryote
Lineage: Eukaryota
Description: partial 18S ribosomal RNA
Rfam family: Eukaryotic small subunit ribosomal RNA
Source: RNAcentral